GCCCGUAUGAAUCAAUCGGACCACGCACUGGACUCACAAUCCAGAAGUCGCUGGUUCAAAUCCCGCGGCGGGCG
RNAcentral lists this transfer RNA (74 nucleotides) under Culex quinquefasciatus (southern house mosquito). It matches the Rfam family "tRNA". Rfam says of the family: Transfer RNA (tRNA) molecules are approximately 80 nucleotides in length. Their secondary structure includes four short double-helical elements and three loops (D, anti-codon, and T loops). The record is from Rfam by way of RNAcentral. Lineage: Eukaryota; Metazoa; Arthropoda; Insecta; Diptera; Culicidae.